Molecule: long non-coding RNA, 1448 nt
Organism: Ostrea edulis (European flat oyster)
Lineage: Eukaryota; Metazoa; Mollusca; Bivalvia; Ostreida; Ostreidae
Exons: 3
Source: RefSeq, a predicted model, not a curated record
UGGCGUAUUCAAAAUAGCAACAUCAACAUCAGUAAUUUAGAGAGGUAUACAAACAAAGAGUAGAUGCACACAUCGUCGCAAGCCACACCUAUUUUCUCCGUUUACACUACGUCAAAUGCCGUGGCUGUAUGGUUAAAAAAGUCCUCGACUUCAUGAAUAUUUAUGUUCAUUAGUCAACCAAUCGGUGAGCUUCCACGAAUUGUUUUGGUGGAAAGAAAAUCAGUUGGAGGCCAUUACGUGCUUGUAGCGGAAUAAUCAGAGGAUUGCGGAUUCAAAACAAACUGGACACUUUUUGAGCCGUUGUAACUAAUGGACGCUUCUUUGUUGACUUCACUGUUGUAAUAAAUGUAUCAUAUAAUAUUCGUAACCACGCCGCUCACUUUAGAUAAUUGUCCGAUCAACUCUAGUCUUCCAGAUUUCAACACAUCUACUUUACCCCGAAUUUCCUCAUCAAGUUUGAGAAUAUGAUUAAGUGUAUUAACACAGAAUUUACACGCGUAACCACUGCUGUUAAUGCUAAUUUCAUUUAAUAGUUACUUAUAAACUGUACUUGCUUCGGUAAAGAGGGAUCUGCCGCCUUUGUCCGUUAUUACUUUGGAGUGCAUCAGAUAUUGGAGAUAAAAAAUUAGAGUGUCAAACACCUGCCGGUGACUUGACUUCAUAUGUAUUCUGAAACGUUAUAAUCAUCAGACCCAUUAAGUUACAACGAUCAAUAAACCACAUGUCUUACUCUUCCACUAGUGCAACUGCUGCAGGAUCGUACACGUAAUCCACCUCAAAGUCCCCGAGGGCAUUAGUGCUCCUUGCACUUAGAAUUGUUGUGAUAAUCAUCGUGUCCAGUGUAUUAGAUUUGUCUGUCAAAGCUUUCACGACUUCUUCUUCUUGCAAUGGAGUCUGAAAUUUCAGUUUGUAAUGUCUUACUCCCAAAUGCUAUAAAAGAUUGAAGACAAUUUUGCAAUAUAUUCUGUAAAAACAAAGGAGAAAUAUAAUACACUUAUACUGAGCAACUGUUCGUUUAGAAAGUCAUGGAUGUAUAUUCAUUAUUAAAUUUAGUCAUUUCUGGAACUGUUCUUUUGUUAAGUAGUGCAGUGCUUAGAUAUCCAAGAAGAUUCGAAACAAGAGGCCCAUUGGCCACAUCGCUCAAUAAGUCACCUUAGCCCAUAUUUAAAGAUUUUCCCUAUAUAUAUAUACUCCCAUGUAAAACUUUGAUCCAUUUUAUGGCACCAGCCUACCCCCAGGGGCCAUGAUUUUAACAAACUUGAAUCUGAACUACGACAGGAAGCUUUCAUGUAAAUGUACACUCUUCUGGCACAGUAGUUCUUGAGAAGAAUGUUUUUAAAGAUUUGCCCUAUACAUGUAUAUCUAUAUGUAAAAUUUGGUCCCCUAUUGUGGCCUCACCCUACCCUCCGGGGCCAUGAUGUUAACAAACUUGAAUCUGCAUUAUUUCA